UACGUAGGGGGCGAGCGUUAUCCGGAUUUACUGGGCAUAAAGAGCACGUAGGCGGUUUUUUAAGUCAGAUGUUAAAGCCUCUAGCUCAACUAGAGAUCGCAUCUGAUACUGAAAGACUAGAGAUCAGUAGAAGAAAGCGGAACUCACGGUGUAGCGGUGAAAUGCGUAGAUAUCGUGGGGAACACCAGUUGCGAAGGCGGCUUUCUAGACUGAAUCUGACGCUGAGGUGCGAAAGCGUGGGGAGCGAACG
RNAcentral lists this ribosomal RNA (250 nucleotides) under uncultured bacterium. RNAcentral's name for it is "partial 16S ribosomal RNA". It matches the Rfam family "Bacterial small subunit ribosomal RNA", at positions 524 to 774 of the family's 1533-position model. The record is from RNAcentral.